GAUGAACGCUGGCGGCGUGCCUAAUACAUGCAAGUCGAACGGAGAUCUAGCAAUAGGUCUUAGUGGCGAACGGGUGAGUAACGCGUUGGUGACCUGCCCCGAAGAGGGGGAUAACAGCUCGAAAGGGCUGCUAAAACCCCAUGAUAUCUCACUGGUUAGAGUGGUGAGAUGAAAAGAGCAAUCUGCUUUGGGAGGGGCCUGCGUCCCAUCAGCUAGUUGGUAGGGUAAAAGCCUACCAAGGCGAAGACGGGUAGGGGGCCUGAGAGGGUGAUCCCCCACACUGGCACUGAAACACGGGCCAGACACCUACGGGAGGCAG
RNAcentral lists this ribosomal RNA (319 nucleotides) under uncultured Chloroflexota bacterium. RNAcentral's name for it is "bacterial SSU rRNA". It matches the Rfam family "Bacterial small subunit ribosomal RNA", at positions 28 to 351 of the family's 1533-position model. The record is from RNAcentral. Lineage: Bacteria; Bacillati; Chloroflexota.